RNAcentral lists this small nuclear RNA (107 nucleotides) under Salvator merianae (Argentine black and white tegu). Lineage: Eukaryota; Metazoa; Chordata; Lepidosauria; Squamata; Teiidae. The record is from RNAcentral.
GUGCUUGCUACGGCAGCACAUAUACUAAAUUUGGACCAAUACAGAGAAGAUUAGCAUGGCCCCUGCACAAGGAUGACAUGCAAAUUCAUGAAGUGUUCCAUAAAAAA